RNAcentral lists this ribosomal RNA (484 nucleotides) under uncultured bacterium. RNAcentral describes it as "partial 16S ribosomal RNA". It matches the Rfam family "Bacterial small subunit ribosomal RNA", at positions 30 to 507 of the family's 1533-position model. The record is from RNAcentral.
AUUGAACGCUGGCGGCAGGCCUAACACAUGCAAGUCGAGCGGAUGAAGGGAGCUUGCUCCUGGAUUCAGCGGCGGACGGGUGAGUAAUGCCUAGGAAUCUGCCUGGUAGUGGGGGAUAACGUCCGGAAACGGGCGCUAAUACCGCAUACGUCCUGAGGGAGAAAGUGGGGGAUCUUCGGACCUCACGCUAUCAGAUGAGCCUAGGUCGGAUUAGCUAGCUGGUGGGGUAAAGGCCUACCAAGGCGACGAUCCGUAACUGGUCUGAGAGGAUGAUCAGUCACACUGGAACUGGGACACGGUCCAGACUCCUACGGGAGGGAGCAGUGGGGAAUAUUGGACAAUGGGCGAAAGCCUGAUCCAGCCAUGCCGCGUGUGUGAAGAAGGUCUUCGGAUUGUAAAGCACUUUAAGUUGGGAGGAAGGGCAGUAAGUUAAUACCUUGCUGUUUUGACGUUACCAACAGAAUAAGCACCGGCUAACUUCGUG